CAAUAGCGUAUAUUAACGUUGUUGCAGUUAAAAAGCUCGUAGUUGGAUUUCUGGAGGGAGCGUCGGCCCGUAUUUACGAGUGCGUGACGUCUCUGUCCAUCCUUGCGGGAAGGCACGGCAUUGAUUUGUUAUGUCGGAUCGCAUCAUUUACUGUGAAAAAAUUAGAGUGUUCAAAGCAGGCUUUCGCUUGAAUACAUUAGCAUGGAAUAAUAAGAUAGGACUUUGGUGCUAUUUUGUUGGUUGAGCCUAAAGUAAUGAUUAAUAGGGAUAGUUGGGGGCACCUGUAUUGCGUUGUCAGAGGUGAAAUUCUUGGAUUUACGCAAGACAAACAGCUGCGAAAGCGUCUGCCAAGGAUGUUUUCAUUAA
Molecule: ribosomal RNA, 366 nt
Filed under: uncultured eukaryote
Lineage: Eukaryota
Description: partial 18S ribosomal RNA
Rfam family: Eukaryotic small subunit ribosomal RNA
Source: RNAcentral